GGAUGUGAGGGUGAUCUGGCUGCGACAUGUCACCCCAUUGAUUGCCAGGGUUGAUUCAGCUGAUCUGGCUGGCUAGGCGAGUGUCCCCUUCCUCCCUCACCGCUCCACGUGCAUCCCUCCUGACCUUCCCCAAUAGAGGAGGACUGUUCUUCCGUCAAGGGUAUACGAGUAGCUGCGCUCCCCUGCUAGAACCUCCGCACAAGCUCUCAAAAGGGGAGGAAGUGAAAGCAGUUGAAAAAAGGGAAGAGAGAGUCAGAAGAGGUAGCGAUCCAGGCUGGUGGAGCACCCUUCCU
Molecule: small nuclear RNA, 293 nt
Filed under: Propithecus coquereli (Coquerel's sifaka)
Lineage: Eukaryota; Metazoa; Chordata; Mammalia; Primates; Indriidae
Description: 7SK RNA (ENSPCOG00000009293.1)
Rfam family: 7SK RNA
About the family: 7SK was discovered as an abundant small nuclear RNA in the mid-70s but a possible function has only recently been suggested.
Source: Rfam by way of RNAcentral